RNAcentral lists this long non-coding RNA (3542 nucleotides) under Macaca mulatta (Rhesus monkey). Its description in RNAcentral is "lncRNA (ENSMMUG00000063853.1)". The record is from RNAcentral. Lineage: Eukaryota; Metazoa; Chordata; Mammalia; Primates; Cercopithecidae.
UUACAGCAUACGAACCUUGUUGCUAUGCAGCUGUUGUUGGAAAAUAGUCUGUGGGCUCAGAGUUUCUAAACCAACCGUUUAUUGGAUGCCCAGAGAAGGAAGGAAAGCGAGGGCCCUGGCUUGCUGAUUACAAACCAUCUCCAUGGUCACAGGUUGCUGGGUGCUCCUUUUACAAUGUUUUCCCAGCAGCAUUCAGGCAGCAGUAGCUUCCUUUGAUCAUUUUUCAGUUUCUGUUAUUUGCUAAUGAGAGAAAGUUUAUACCUGCUUGUGGGGACAUGAGUGAAGAAAGAGAAGGGACUUUGAAACAGGAGAAGAGAGCAAACUCAAAAGUGUUCUUUCCAGGUACCAUAUGGCCUCAGGCUCCCAUCAUGUUGCAUGCCUUCAACAAAACAUCUCUGCCUGAGAGCUCUCAGUGGCAAUGCAUGGGAAGAAAACAAAGGGAAGAAUGUUGGAGUUUCCUAUUAGAAUAUUUUACACUCUGAAGUAAGUCAGCUUACUAAUGCUUGGACAACCAAUUGUGCUUAUGGGAACCUUUCCAUUGAGAGUCUGAAGAUCUGAGAAAUUCACUAUGACAUCUUCAGAUACAAAAGGGCAGAGGAUGAUCCCUGGCUCCUUCUCUUGUCUUUGUUUUGGUUUCAGCAGUGAUGAAGCAGGAAUCUUUAAAAACAGUUUUAAUUUUCUUGUUUACUUUUUUCUUUGGAAAUAAACUCUUCAGCCCUUGUUAACAACAGCAACAACAACAACAACAACAAACUGGAUUCUCAACAAUUUGGUUCAACUGCCUCAAUGAAUGGUUGUAAGUGAAAAUCAGCCAGUGAACUCUUAGCAGCUCCUGACUUGGAGUUCCAGCUGCCCACUAGACUUUAGGCCCCUGGCUAAUGGACACCUCAAACUCAACAUCUUCCUAACUCAACUCUUUAUCUUCCUUUCUCUACCUGCUCCCACUCUUGCAUUUUUAAAUGCAAGAAAAAAGUGUUGAAAACUUUAUUUUCAAAGAAAAAGUAAUCAAGAAAAUUAAAACUGUUUUUGAAGAUCCAUGCUUGCAUUUUAGUUGCCCAAUAUAGAAACUUUGGAAUUUUCCCUCUUACUUAGACCAAAUUCUUUAGAAUCUAAUUCAGAAAAUAUUUCUUGAAUCUACCCUUUCUUUGUAUCCCUACUUCUACUCCCCCUUUUUAUGUCUUAAUUUGUGCACUCACCUAUGAAUGGUGUUUAUUGCAUGCCUAUACUAUGUAGCACAGGCAACCUGCUCUGUGCUAGGAUACAGAGGUGAACAGGACAUGAUACUUGGUCACUGGAAACUUAUCUCUGUGUGAGGGGUAAGGAAGGAGACAAAAACAAAUAGUGAUGGUAAAAUAUGAUCUUUUUUACACAUGCCAUUUUUCUCCUGAGCCAUUGCAAUAGAUCUUGACCUCUUUCUGCCUUCCUUCUCUCCCUCUUGAUCCAUUCUCUUCAUUGCUAUCAGCAUUACCUUCCUAAAAUACAGACUGGAUCAUGAUCACAGUCAUCUUUGCCUCCCUGUUGCCUAAAGAAUGAAAGCUCUAGUCCUCAGUAUGUUGGUUAAGGCCUUUACAAGCAGACCCAAAUUUACCCGUCCACCUCUCAACUCCUCUCCCCUCUAGCAUUGAACACUAUGCUUUAGCCACACAUAGACUGUUAGUAGGUCUCCAGUAUACCUCAUAAACUCUCACAUAUCUGCCUUUUAUUUUCCUGUCCCUUUAGCCUUGAAUGCCCUUCAAAUCUCAUUCACCCUUUGGCUAGUUCUUACUCAUCUUCCAACUCUUACUCAUCAUUUAAGACUCACCGUCCUCAACUUCCCUACCUUGAGGCAGAAUUAAUUACAUCCUCCUUUGAUAUACCAUAAUUAUAUAAUUUAUUUCAUAUGUUAUAGAUAAUUUAUAGAGGCUGAAUACCCUCUUACCACCUACCAUAGUUCUCAAUAUAUGUUGAGUGAUUUAAAAAAUGUAAAAUAUUGAAAAUAUACAGUGCACCACUGUAGGAGGUGUUCUUAUUUUUACUGGUAAUGCCAUUGUGAAAAAAUAAAAAUACUCAGAGUCCCCAAGUGCCUUUCCAGGGUAAUAAAAAUUCCUGCAUUUGGAAAUAAAAGGAAGUUUCCAUGUGUUUUUUUAUUCCGUCUCUUUCAUGUAAAGUUUGGGGAUACAGGUUGAGACAUUUCUGUUAGGUUAUAUUGAGUUUACGAAGUAUGAGAUGAGACUAAAUGACCUCAAGGAUUCCCAUCAGAGAAAUACGCAGUGGUGAGAGAGGAUUCCUCAGAGAUGUGGGAGGUCAGGAGAAAGUCCCACUUUCACUUUAUGGAUGUGGUUGAAGUUCUUUCACAAUCUAUUUCAUGGUGCUGGUGGUGAGGUAUAUGUGAAUGUGUGUGUGGCAAUACUUGGAGAUAGUUUGAAACUUAGACAUGACAUGACCUCGACAUGACUCACUAGUUGCUGUCAGCGCAUCUUCCCUAAUAACCUGAUGAGUAAGUGGCAAAAAUAUCUGGCCUAAGCUCUUUUUCCUACCAAACCCUGCUUUGAGAAUGCAAACAGGAUGCUUCAGAAAAGAAUAUGCUCCACAUUCAAUUAGAUAAAGAUUUCUCAUACAUUUGGGAAAAAUCACUCAGAAAAUUUUCAACCCUCAUUGCGGAUUAAUCCCCAGAAUUUCGUUUCAUAGACAAUCCACUAUUUCAAAACAUUUCCCAUAGGAAAUUCUAUCAAUGGGUAGGAAGUCUCCAGAAGGUUACAGAUAGUAGCUGGAAUUCUCUCCUUUUUUGUUUUUUUCUUUAACAAAAAACUACAUUUCCAAGAACUAGACCAGAUGAUCCCUAGACGUGGUUUAGUGUUUUGUGUUUUCAGGCUUUUAGAAUGUUGGUGCUGGAAGAGACUUAUGGGAACAUCUGGUUCAGGCCCCUCGCUUUACAAACGGUAUCAGGAAAGUUAAUGGCUUUUUAAGGUCAUCUAGUGUGUCAGGAGUGGAGCUGGGACUAGGACUCUCAGGCGCUCUAACCCUUAGCCAAUGGAUCAUCUUUCCUCCAUGCCAAGUUAGACACAAGACAAAUUACAAGAUGAAGAGAAAUUUUAAAGAAAUGCAGGCCUUUAAACACCCCGAAUAUGGUGUGUACCACUGUUUUCCUGAGACCCGAACUUCACUGUAGGACCACCUCUCAAACGGAGACUUCUAAGAGACUUCUGCUGCCAGCCCUUGCCUUGCACAUCACCUUAGAGGACCUGGAGAUGUUGAUGUGAUAAUGGAUCAAUAUUUAACUUAUUUAACUUAGAUUUUAGGGGCUGGUUAAUUCAACGAACUUAAUUCGUAUUUGCUCUGUCCUCCCAUAACAGACAAGAAUCUCUAGCGCAUCUCCAACUUAGAGCCUCCUUUAUCCCUUAAUCAUUAAAAACUGCUUCCUACUCCCCUGUGAGUGAGUCCCACUUCUCUCUCUUUCUAUCCUGUUCAGGCCCACUCCCACCCUUGCUGCUCCUCAAUGGGACGCUUCACCUGAACCCAUGGAGCCCUGGUUCUAUUAAGAACAAACUCCCCUUAACCUUUCC